UUUCAGGUCCUGCAAUAAAAGCAGGCCCAACCCCGUCAGAUCCGGAAGGAAGCAGCGGUAAGCAUUGCGAUUGUGUGCUGGAAUUCCCUGAUGCAC
RNAcentral lists this signal recognition particle RNA (96 nucleotides) under Fidelibacterota bacterium. RNAcentral's name for it is "signal recognition particle sRNA small type". It matches the Rfam family "Bacterial small signal recognition particle RNA". Rfam says of the family: The signal recognition particle (SRP) is a universally conserved ribonucleoprotein involved in the co-translational targeting of proteins to membranes. The record is from RNAcentral. Lineage: Bacteria; Pseudomonadati; Fidelibacterota.